RNAcentral lists this ribosomal RNA (962 nucleotides) under uncultured Lachnospiraceae bacterium. RNAcentral's name for it is "bacterial SSU rRNA". It matches the Rfam family "Bacterial small subunit ribosomal RNA", at positions 498 to 1459 of the family's 1533-position model. The record is from RNAcentral. Lineage: Bacteria; Bacillati; Bacillota; Clostridia; Lachnospirales; Lachnospiraceae.
UAAAUAUGUGCCAGCAGCCGCGGUAAUACGUAUGGUGCAAGCGUUAUCCGGAUUUACUGGGUGUAAAGGGAGCGUAGGUGGCAAGGCAAGCCAGAAGUGAAAACCCGGGGCUCAACCGCGGGAUUGCUUUUGGAACUGUCAUGCUAGAGUGCAGGAGGGGUGAGCGGAAUUCCUAGUGUAGCGGUGAAAUGCGUAGAUAUUAGGAGGAACACCGGAGGCGAAGGCGGCUCACUGGACUGUAACUGACACUGAGGCUCGAAAGCGUGGGGAGCAAGCAGGAUUAGAUACCCUGGUAGUCCACGCGGUAAACGAUGAAUACUAGAUGUCGGGUAGCAAAGCUACUCGGUGUCGUCGCAAACGCAAUAAGUAUUCCACCUGGGGAGUACGUUCGCAAGAAUGAAACUCAAAGGAAUUGACGGGGACCCGCACAAGCGGUGGAGCAUGUGGUUUAAUUCGAAGCAACGCGAAGAACCUUACCUGCUCUUGACAUCCCAUUCGAUAGAGGGUAAUGCCUCUAGCCCUUCGGGGGAAUGGAGACAGGUGGUGCAUGGUUGUCGUCAGCUCGUGUCGUGAGAUGUUGGGUUAAGUCCCGCAACGAGCGCAACCCUUAUUGUCAGUAGCCAGCAGGUGAAGCUGGGCACUCUGAUGAGACUGCCGGGGAUAACCCGGAGGAAGGUGGGGAUGACGUCAAAUCAUCAUGCCCCUUAUGAGCAGGGCUACACACGUGCUACAAUGGCGUAAACAGAGGGAAGCGAAGGGGUGAUCCGGAGCAAAUCUCAAAAAUAACGUCUCAGUUCGGAUUGUAGUCUGCAACUCGACUACAUGAAGCUGGAAUCGCUAGUAAUCGCAGAUCAGAAUGCUGCGGUGAAUACGUUCCCGGGUCUUGUACACACCGCCAGAGGCACCAUGGGAGUCGGUAAUGCCCGAAGUCAGUGACUCAACCGAAAGGAGAGAGCUGCCGA